This 29-nucleotide small RNA is filed under the name Bombyx mori (domestic silkworm). RNAcentral's name for it is "ovarian small RNA-36854". The record is from RNAcentral. Lineage: Eukaryota; Metazoa; Arthropoda; Insecta; Lepidoptera; Bombycidae.
UUAUGACAGAAUCAUCUGGUGGCCAGGUC